UGUCAUUUGAGAUCUGUUUGCUCACGGAGUCUUUUCUCUGCUGUGCAGUUAGGUCCCUCCCACAGGCAAACAGUCUUCCCAAACCUGCUGUGAUGUGGGUCACUCAUCCACAGGGUGCAGUCUUCUAAGGAGCUGCUCUAGCCUGGGAGCAAGGGCUCUCUGUCUCUGUCUCUGUCUCUGUCUCUGUCUCUGUCUCUGUCUCUGUCUCUGUCUCUGUCUCUGUCUCUGGCAGCAGGGGCACGCUCUCUCCAUUCGGGCUCCCACUGGAUCACAGCUUGCUCUGGCAUCCACCCGCUCCAGCGUGAGCACUUUUCCCAUGGGCUGCAAGUGGAUCUCUGCAUUCCCUGUGGACUUCAUACAUUUCAGGGGCCCAGCUUGUUCAUCGUAGCCCUCACUGUGGCUUGCAGAGGAAUCUCAGCUCCAACGCUUGGAGAACCUCCUCCCCCUCUUUCUUUUCCACUGACCUUGGAGCGGCCAUGUUGUUUUUCCCUCACAUUUCCUCACUUCCUCCUCUUCUCUGACUAGAAGAAAAAUUGGUGCUGAUAACAGAACUGAGGUCUGCAGUUACACACAUGUGGAAGUACUCUUAUACAAGAAAAAUUACUGAAAUUUGCAACCAGAUGCUAUCCCAACAUUACCUGAAAUUGCACAACACCACCACAAAAUCCAGAACAGCUGUGUCGAAAAACUCAUGACAAGUUUGUUGUUGGUAGAGGAACAGAUUUUCUUCAUGCUGUGUGAGAAUCAUUGCUGUUUGCUGUGCAAGCACAGAGAUACUGCUAUAUACAUGCAAAGCAGAACAGAUUGUGAAAUUUCAGUACUAAUUCAAAGCCAGACUACUUGAUUAGAAAGACAAUAAUGCAGAAAUCAGUACAGAUAAAUAAAGAUAGUAAGAAACUUAAAAA
This is a long non-coding RNA of Passer domesticus (house sparrow), 905 nucleotides long. RefSeq lists it as uncharacterized. Lineage: Eukaryota; Metazoa; Chordata; Aves; Passeriformes; Passeridae. The transcript has 3 exons. The record is from RefSeq and is a predicted model, not a curated record.